Aedes albopictus (Asian tiger mosquito) is the source of this 1418-nucleotide long non-coding RNA. RefSeq lists it as uncharacterized. The record is from RefSeq and is a predicted model, not a curated record. The transcript has 2 exons. Lineage: Eukaryota; Metazoa; Arthropoda; Insecta; Diptera; Culicidae.
CCCUUCAGUUCAGAGAGGGUUUGGGCAGCGUUCUGCCAACUCGGUCGAGGCAGGAUUCUUGGGAGAACAAGUAAGGGGUCGUUGAAAGAUUAUGUAACAGUAUUUAUUGUAUUUUGUGUGAAAAAUUCUAAGCUUUCCCAUACAAGUUACGUAAUAUUUGAAAAACCUCAUCAACACUGAUAUUCUAAAGAGCUGGAAUGAUGGGUUGAGCUUGUAGUGAUCCCUUGAAGAUGGGAUGCAAAUCAUUAACUCGCGAUCGCGCAUCUUUGGUACUUCAGGAAAGCAGUACACUACAUAAACGAAUGGAUUUUAAAACACAUCCGAUACAUUACAAAAAUUUAAUGAUUUGCUAUCCAUGUCCGUGGAACCAUUCUGAAUAGCCACUUAGGAAAUACACUGGAUUUUAUUUCUUUUUAUUUAUGACUAUUCUCAUUAUUAUUAUAACUUUUGCCUUUCGCGAAACGCCCUCCCCCUGGAUAUUCGAUCUUGACGCGAUGGGAGGGCUUAACCCAUUAGCAUUUUAGCGCCAGUUCUUUCACCACCGCUUGGACUUUGAGCUAGAUAUAUCUAGUUUACGAGUUGAGCGCAAGUGAAGGAAUCGCCGUAAGUGCUAAUGGGAACCAAAGGAGUAUCCGUCGUGCAUUUAUCACAAAUCAAAAACAAAUUAUAAUUCAGCUUGCAUAGACCUAAUCUUUGCAUUCUUUGAAUUUUCUCAAAUUUAACAAUAACUGUUAAAUUUAACGUAACGCAAGAGUGGGUAGAGGAGGUCUCUGCGUUACACUCAUCAUUCGUUACUUGAAUUCGUUAGUACACAGGACAGGGGACGCUAGGAUAAGUUGACUUACAGCCUUACAGAUUAGAUUCAUUACAAUUAGAAGAUUAUGGACUGAUUAGGUUAAGAUAAAACUGUUGAUUAUAGGAGUUUGUAUUUGUAUUUCUUAUUUUUAUGGGUUUUGUGAAUUUAUAAAAGUUGACAAAUAAUCAUUAUCAUUUUCAUUUUUGACAAAAAUCAGUUGACUGAACUUUUUUUGUUUUAUAUCUUAGACGGUAUUAUUUCACUGAUCAAAAAAAGCAGGAAUUUAGUUAGGACUUAGGACGGUUGACAUUGUAAAGGGUUACGAUGGAUAUAAUAUUACUUUGGACUGAGAUGAUCACAGAUAUGCAGAAGACGACUAGCGAAAUUAGAAACACAAUUUGUUACAUUAUUGACUAUAUUUUGACAAAUAGGGUUUAACAAAUUUCUUUACAAUAUCGAAUGGAAGCUCAAAAAGUGUUAUCUAACACUAAUAUGAGAGUUAUUUGGAGAUGAUGCUGGUGCUGUCAAUGACUAACAUCGGUUAUUGACACUAUUGGUAAUCAGCUUGAAAUAAUUUUCAGAAUGUAUUAUAAAAUAACUGAGGAUAUUAUCUGAUUAUUGU